Molecule: ribosomal RNA, 497 nt
Filed under: uncultured bacterium
Lineage: Bacteria
Description: partial 16S ribosomal RNA
Rfam family: Bacterial small subunit ribosomal RNA
Source: RNAcentral
GAUGAACGCUGGCGGCGUGCCUAAUACAUGCGAGUCGAGCGAACGGACGAGAAGCUUGCUUCUCUGAUGUUAGCGGCGGACGGGUGAGUAACACGUGGAUAACCUACCUAUAAGACUGGGAUAACUUCGGGAAACCGGAGCUAAUACCGGAUGAUAUUUUGAACCGCAUGGUUCAAAAGAGAAAGACGGUGUUGCUGUAACUUAUAGAUGGAUCCGCGCUGCAUUAGCUAGUUGGUAAGGUAACGGCUUACCAAGGCAACGAUGCGUAGCCGACCUGAGAGUGUGAUAGCCCACACUAGAACUGAGACGGGGUCAUGACUCCUACGGGACGCAGCAGAAGGGAAUCCUCCGCAGUGGUCGAGAGCCUGACGGAGCAACCCCGCGUGAGUGAUGAAGAUCUUCGGAUCGUAAAGCUCUGCUAUUAGUUAAGAACAUCUGUCUCAGUAACUGUACCCAGCGUGACGGUACCUGAUCAGAAAGCCACGGCUAACUACGUG